UUCCAGACUCCUACGGGAGGCAGCAGUGAGGAAUAUUGGUCAAUGGCCGGAAGGCUGAACCAGCCAAGUCGCGUGAGGGACGACUGCCCUAUGGGUUGUAAACCUCUUUUAUAAGGGAAGAAUAAAUGCUACGUGUAGCAUGAUGCCUGUACCUUAUGAAUAAGCAUCGGCUAACUCCGUGCCAGCAGCCGCGGUAAUACGGAGGAUGCGAGCGUUAUCCGGAUUUAUUGGGUUUAAAGGGUGCGCAGGCGGAUUUUUAAGUCAGCGGUCAAAUCGUGGGGCUCAACCCCAUCCAGCCGUUGAAACUGGGGAUCUAGAGUGUGCGAGAGGUAUGCGGAAUGCGUGGUGUAGCGGUGAAAUGCAUAGAUAUCACGCAGAACCCCGAUUGCGAAGGCAGCAUACCGGUGCACAACUGACGCUCAGGCACGAAAGCGUGGGUAUCGAACAGGAUUAGAUACCCGAGUAC
Molecule: ribosomal RNA, 466 nt
Filed under: uncultured bacterium
Lineage: Bacteria
Description: bacterial SSU rRNA
Rfam family: Bacterial small subunit ribosomal RNA
Source: RNAcentral